CUACGUGCCAGCAGCCGCGGUAAUACGUAUGUCGCAAGCGUUAUCCGGAAUUAUUGGGCAUAAAGGGCAUCUAGGCGGCCAGAUAAGUCUGGGGUGAAAACUUGCGGCUCAACCGCAAGCCUGCCCUGGAAACUAUGCGGCUAGAGUACUGGAGAGGUGGACGGAACUGCACGAGUAGAGGUGAAAUUCGUAGAUAUGUGCAGGAAUGCCGAUGAUGAAGAUAGUUCACUGGACGGUAACUGACGCUGAAGUGCGAAAGCUAGGGGAGCAAACAGGAUUAGAUACCCUGGUAGUCCUAGCUGUAAACGAUGAUUACUGGGUGUGGGCAUGAAGAGUGUCCGUGCCGAAGCUAAUGCGAUAAGUAAUCCGCCUGGGGAGUACGGCCGCAAGGCUGAAACUCAAAGGAAUUGACGGGGACCCGCACAAGCGGUGGAGCAUGUGGUUUAAUUCGACGCAACGCGAGGAACCUUACCAGAUCUUGACAUCCUG
Molecule: ribosomal RNA, 489 nt
Filed under: uncultured bacterium
Lineage: Bacteria
Description: bacterial SSU rRNA
Rfam family: Bacterial small subunit ribosomal RNA
Source: RNAcentral